Molecule: non-coding RNA, 24 nt
Filed under: Arabidopsis thaliana (thale cress)
Lineage: Eukaryota; Viridiplantae; Streptophyta; Magnoliopsida; Brassicales; Brassicaceae
Source: RNAcentral
ACUCGGAACAAACAAUGUAGUGGU